UACGGAGGGAGCUAGCGUUGUUCGGAAUUACUGGGCGUAAAGCGCACGUAGGCGGCUUUUUAAGUCAGGGGUGAAAUCCCGGGGCUCAACCCCGGAACUGCCCUUGAAACUGGAGAGCUAGAAUCUUGGAGAGGCGAGUGGAAUUCCGAGUGUAGAGGUGAAAUUCGUAGAUAUUCGGAAGAACACCAGUGGCGAAGGCGACUCACUGGACACGUAUUGACGCUGAGGUGCGAAAGCGUGGGGAGCAAACAGG
RNAcentral lists this ribosomal RNA (253 nucleotides) under uncultured bacterium. RNAcentral's name for it is "partial 16S ribosomal RNA". It matches the Rfam family "Bacterial small subunit ribosomal RNA", at positions 524 to 776 of the family's 1533-position model. The record is from RNAcentral.